Molecule: long non-coding RNA, 76 nt
Organism: Etheostoma spectabile (orangethroat darter)
Lineage: Eukaryota; Metazoa; Chordata; Actinopteri; Perciformes; Percidae
Exons: 3
Source: RefSeq, a predicted model, not a curated record
UAUUUAAACACUCAUGAUGAAGUGAACUCCGCUCCCUGGCUUGAAAGCAUUGUGUUUUAUGUUGACACCACAUUGU